Molecule: RNA transcript, 5331 nt
Organism: Esox lucius (northern pike)
Lineage: Eukaryota; Metazoa; Chordata; Actinopteri; Esociformes; Esocidae
Exons: 3
Source: RefSeq, a predicted model, not a curated record
GGAAGAAGACAGGUGACCGACAGCAUGCGCAGCGUCGUGCGGCAGGUGCGACGUGGGGAUCGUUGUGGUUCAGACUGAGGCUGUUUCUUAGUACCGGAUAAUGAAUGCGGGGAAGUCACUAACGCCGGCAAACGGUGUCAUGUGAGCAUUUCCCAGCUGUGAGCGGGGCCUUCAUGGAUUCCCCCUACAAUGGCAACACGUCCCUCCAGACCUCCACGUCCAACCUCAACGCCAACUUCUCUCGGCCGUCCGAGGCCGAAGAAGAGGGCAAGUACUCCAGUGACGCCAUCUGGCUUUGGGUAGCCGUGAUUGCGACUAUCGGCAACAUAGUGGUGGUAGCAGUGGUUUGUGCCUGUGCCUUCUAAGACCCACCGCUUACAAGCACACAGCCGAACCUCCCGGGCACCUCCUUUUCUCCCUAUUCAAUCUACCCGUGUUUAACUGUCUGGAGUCCACCUAUGAUUUUACAGCUGAAGCUCUGUGUUGAGGGUUAAUGGUGUAGGAUAGUGAGACCACAGCCCUUGGCUGAUCUGUAGUGUGAAGAACAGGUUCUGCUGAGACUAGACAUGAGAAAGCCAACCCUUGUGUUUACCAGUGUUCUUUUUUUAAAGUGAGAAACAUAACUGUGUGUGGAUGUGUCUUGUCCUUUUCGUAAUAAAUCAGGCCAGCGAGUUCAGCCAGCAGACAUCAUGUUACACAGAUGAGUGAGUCCUCUUCAUGCUUUCCAACUGAAGGGACCACCGAGAGGUCGUCUUGAGAGGUCUUUGAUCCCUUCUGCUAUAACCUGAGCUUUGAGACCACCACGACAGACCUUUGUCUGGUCGAUGUGGUGUCCCCGUUUGUCUGAAACAGAUGUGUCGAUGCCGCCCUGGACCAAGACUCUAUUGGAAAAUCUAUUUAUACCUCAAUGAGACUAACCUUGUAGGAUACAUAACACCUAUAGUAGUCAGCUGCUCCCACCGUGGCUGGCCACCCUCUCCAGGAACAGUGGAGUGAGGUGUGACAGAUGGUGGGGGGGGGGGUUAUGGGGCCUGGGGGGUUGGGGUAGACUUGGCACUGUCUCCACCACCCAGGGUAAUGGAACCACUGCACCCCUGCUUCUCCGUUAUGGCCCUGUCCUCCCCUCAGCUGUCCUCCCCUGUCCUACCCUCCCCUCACCUCCCUUCCGCUGACCUCUCCUUACCUGUCCUCCCCUCACCUACCCUGAUCUCCCCUCACCUCCCUUCCGCUGACCUCUCCUUACCUGUCCUCCCCUCACCUACCCUGAUCUCCCCUCACCCGUCCUCCCCUCACCUACCCUGAUCUCCCCUCACCCGUCCUCCCCUCACCUACCCUGACCUCCCCUCACCCGUCCUCUGUGCCCGGCUGGGUGUGCAGUGAUAACGGGUCUGUACCAGGCUGGGUGUGCAGUGAUAACGGGUCUGUACCAGGCUGGGUGUGCAGUGAUAACGGGUCUGUACCAGGCUGGGUGUGCAGCGAUAACGGGUCUGUACCAGGCUGGGUGUGCAGCGAUAACGGGUCUGUACCAGGCUGGGUGUGCAGUGAUAACGGGUCUGUGCCAGGCUGGGUGUGCAGCGAUAACGGGUCUGUGCCCGGCUGGGUGUGCAGCGAUAACGGGUCUGUACCAGGCUGGGUGUGCAGCGAUAACGGGUCUGUACCAGGCUGGGUGUGCAGCGAUAACGGGUCUGUACCAGGCUGGGUGUGCAGCGAUAACGGGUCUGUACCAGGCUGGGUGUGCAGCGAUAACGGGUCUGUACCAGGCUGGGUGUGCAGUGAUAACGGGUCUGUGCCAGGCUGGGUGUGCAGCGAUAACGGGUCUGUGCCCGGCUGGGUGUGCAGCGAUAACGGGUCUGUACCAGGCUGGGUGUGCAGCGAUAACGGGUCUGUGACCAAUGUUGUGGAGCGAGAGAGUGAUACACAAACACAUCCUCACCCACGACAUUAUGUGAAAUGACAUGACCACCAACUGGAUCCCACUUAAACACUCAGCCGCUAGCCACUGCAGGACAUUCCCAAAUGACCCAACCACCGCAGUGCGAGCAGUCAGACAGUUUCUCUUCGUAAUAAACCCUGCCACUGUCUACAUUUGGUUUUUAGUCGUUGCGCCCGGCGGGCAGAAUCUCCACCUCGGUGUGUCCCAGGCUCCUGGGUCCAUGCACACAGUGGAGGGGGCUGGUUGGGUUGCAGCAGCUCUGUGCUGUUUCAUAUGAGCCCAGUGGAGUGGGACCACGGUCCUGUCAAACGGCAGGGCCGUAAUGAGACGUAAUGUCUCCCUCUUUCCUGCAGCGGACAUCGACCUCUGUGCGGCUCUGCCGUGAUCACAGCCCAUCUGAUCACCUCGGCCACUCUGAACAAAGAUAGUGCUUGAGACGCAUUUUUUCACUGGGUCUCAUUUAAUCACCACUCGUGGAAGCUGAGUGGUAAGGAGGAAAUGAGAUGAGAGUAGUGAGUGCGUUUACAUUAGAAUUGAACAGCCAGCUUUUAUGUCAUCUCCUCGCAUUACGGAACAUUUUCUGCAAGUGAAUAGAAAACUUUUUUUUUUUCCUCAUUGAAGCCAGUGAAGGGGAAUUAAAUCUUUUAAUAUGGAUAGAAUUAGGAUCAGAGGUCUGGCUGAGGCGUCCGUUAACACAGCUAAUUGCCCUGAUCUCACAGUACACUGGAGUUCAUCAGAACCAGAGGGAGAUGUAUUCAGCGUGACAUGUCUCAGCAGACUUUUUCUGGGCCUUUAGAGAGGUAGGUCACCUACCAGUGGGAACACUAAAGAGUUGUCUACUACAAUAAACUCCUACAAUAAGCGCUUGUGGCGUAUAACGCGGUAUGUGGUUCUUCAUAACUAUCGACAGACAAUCAUUAUCGACUAACAAAUUCGUAUUAUACGUCACCCCUCGAGAGUUCCUUCAAAACAGAGACUGUUGUGAGCCAACACUGGUAUGGACUAGGUGAGUAACCCCAGUCAGGUAAAACCGCUGCAAACAGAGUCUGUCAUGGGGUCGGCUGUGUGCUUGGACGUGGGACUGGUUAAGGCUCCGGUGCCCACUGUCUACGGCUCUAACUAUGUGCCUGAACGGACUUACCCGACUCCUACCCUCCAACGGCCUGUUCACCGCGGACACUCCUCAGAGCACCGCGGACACCGGACAUCCGACACUACGUUGUCACGGCUGCACGCCACGGAAUUCACCGUCCUUCCUCAGCCUCCCGGGGUGUAUACGGGGAGUUCCUGUCCCCUAAGUUCAACAAAGGUCAACAAAGACAGUUAAUGCGACCCUGGUCUGUGACACAUAAUGGCGCCCGUUAUUAUCUCCAUACAAGGUCUGGCAGGAACAUUGAGGAAUACGGAGACCUGGUGGGGAGGCACAGAACUAGCGUCCUAUUAUUCCAAAAUCAACUCUGAGGUUAACUGUUGUGGACUUUGUGAUGUAAGUGCUGUGACCCAUGACAUGAAACUGACAAAACCUUAAACUUCACCUUGAAAAGAACGUCAUUCCAAUGACUGAGUGGACAUUUCUUGACACCACUGACUCUGUAUCCUUGGGCUCUUCUCUUCUGUGCAUCCUGUAGCGUCCAGUAGGGAUGUUGUCAGUUCUGAAACAUCCCUGUAGGGGUCAGGAUUACCACUAUGUAGUUAGUACAUGACCAAAAAGGCUAUUAGCUAAAUACAGUCACCCCGUUAGUGAAAUGUGCUCACCACGUUCAGUCGCAUAAGCGUUGUGUUACAAGUACCUAAUAUACUGCUGCACAGUCACCCAAAUAAUGCAUUUGGAUUUCUUUUCAAAACCUUUGUUCUCAACGUGCACACUGUUUCAUGAUCCAUGCCAGACCUGUAGCCUGUGAAGUGUAGCACACUGAGAUGUAUGAAAUGUGUGUCCAUGUUUGCAUAACUCAUGAGCUGGCUUUUGUGUGACACUAAAGGAAACCUGGGGGUUGCUUAGUAGUAGUGGAAAGGGUACUUUAGCAUCCUAAUGUCCUUUAUAGUGUAACAAAUACAAAAUGAUCAUUUCCUGAUACUGAUAUUUUAAGUGUCAACAUUGUUGUCGGGAAGUUGCAGGUCAUGUACAAAAAAAAAUUAAAACAUCCAACUGGACAUGAAAAAACGGAAAUGAGGUCACAUAGGCUGUUAUGUCUUGAAUAACUUGAUUCUCAUAAGCUGUUUACUAAUUGGUCUUUUGAGACAGCACUUAAAGAGAACUCAUUUGAACUAAUGGAGAAUGCACAUUGUGUCAGGAUUGGGUAUAUGUGGUGUAAGAUCAGAUUCCAUUUCAUUGAUAUUUUGUGCAGUUUGUACAGUAAGGAAAAUGUGACGCUCUGUCAGAUGUGGAAAUAAUUGGAAAUAUAUUUAUUUGGGCUUGUUUAAUUAUGUAUUUUCAGGUCAGGGAUUAAAUUACAUUCUUUUUUUAUUUUCUUGACUUUCCCUAAAUGUACAAUUAAAAUACCUCUUGUUUUUUCUUUAGAUUUAAAUAAUACGGUCGGUACAGGCUACCUUGAUUGCUACUAUUUUGACAAAUCACAUCAGAAGACCAAUUCAUAAAAAUAAACACAGAUUUGUCUGCCUGUGUAUACAAAGCCUGUGUGUUGAAGUAAUGAGGGUUUUUUUCCACAAUGUUGACCAUGAGAUCUCAGGUCUGUUCUCAUGCUAGAUUAACCAAAACAAACUCACUCACUAACUUUCUCUCCCUCACUCUCUCCCCUUUUCUUAGUCUAGCUCACACACUUACGCACACAUACACAAAACAUAUUCCAUAUGGUCCUGACAGGACAAUACAUGUUGAUCUAGAUGCUACACAGAUAAACACAUUUUAAGGUUUCUUUUUUCGCAUGAUUACAGACUAACACACAGUAAGUGGAAUAACAAGAUUAAGUCAUUAUUAGAAGAUGGUUUGCAUUACAGGAGCCACGAUUCAAUGCCUGGUCCUUCUAAGAGUAAUUGAUGUGCGCACUGUGCUCAGUAUGUGCAUGGUAAAUGCAUUAGGAGUGUGUUGCAACUCAUUUAACAAUGAUCAUCAUCCGAGGUUUUCAACUUCUACUGUGGUAUUUUGUUUUAGCAUAAAACAAAUAAAGUUUAAUUAGCUCGUUUGCAUGUUGUUUUACAUCUGUCCCUUGAAUUUGUAAGGGACAAAGUGUGUAAAAUUGAUGAUUUUAUCUCAUGGAAUAUUGAUUGGAUAUUGAAUUACUUUGUAUGUAGAACUAAUGCUCACUUUUUUUGUAAACGUUAUAUCAAUCAUAUUGAUAAAGAAAUGUAUCAUCUAUAAUAUUAUAUUGUAAGUAUGUUCAUCAUUUAACCUCAUGAUAUGCUAUCCUGUAUAAUUCAAUAAACUUGCUUCCUAAUAUAAA